GUGAACUCCCAGGUGAAGGUUCAUUCCCCUUCUGCUCACAAUGGACAAGAGUAAGCCAGGAAUUCAAUACAUGUCUCCAUCAAGGGUGGAAGGAAUCCUGAUACUGGUUCCAUUAUCACUACCUCCCAGGGACUGCAUUAACAGAAAACUGGAGACAGGAACUGAAGCCAGGAAUUGAAUCCAGGCGAUGAAGACACUAUUAUGUAGUAGAGAAAGCAAGGUGGAAGACAUGAUUAGAAGCAAAAGAAUGGAUGAAAUUUCUUGGCAAACUUGUCCGGAGAUGUGGAGGUGAAUUGAAGGUAUCAAUUAUUUUAGGAAUCUUACUGAAAAGGUAAGGAUGAAAAGAGGAUGAAGGGCCGGCGCCGUGUCUCACUAGGCUAAUCCUCCACCUGCAGCACUGGCACACUGGGUUCUAGUCCUGGUCGGGGCGCCGGAUUCUGUCCUGGUUGCUCCUCUUCCAGUCCAGCUCUAUGCUGUGUCCUGGGAAGGCAGUGGAGGAUGGCCCAAGUGCUUGGGCCCUGCACCCGCAUGGGAGACCAGGAGGAAGUAUCUGGCUCCUGGCUUCGGAUCAGUGCAGUGCCAGCCGUGGCAGCAA
This is a non-coding RNA of Oryctolagus cuniculus (rabbit), 595 nucleotides long. The record is from RefSeq and is a predicted model, not a curated record. Lineage: Eukaryota; Metazoa; Chordata; Mammalia; Lagomorpha; Leporidae.